Molecule: long non-coding RNA, 250 nt
Filed under: Lathyrus oleraceus (garden pea)
Lineage: Eukaryota; Viridiplantae; Streptophyta; Magnoliopsida; Fabales; Fabaceae
Description: Pisum sativum (pea) long non-coding RNA (PSAT_LNC025976)
Source: RNAcentral
AAACACAAUAUUAUGGGGAUUAGGAUUCCGGCUCGGGCAUUUCCGGGACUUCGCCAUCUCUGCAAGUUUUUGCUUUCCGGUAAGAAUUCUUCUCGGGGGCAUUUUGGACCUGCAAAAAAUAGCAAUAUUUCGAACUUUUGAGUUAGAAAAAUCUGAACCCGUGGUUACGACCGGGAUGGCGAGGUGAGAAAUAUUUGUGAAGGGUGUUUGAGCUAUAUGUGAGUGGAACUUGGGUGCAUGGAGGGUUUUG